GAUAUUGGUCAAUGGGUGAAAGCCUGAUCUAGCCAUGCCGCGUGCGUGAAGAAGGUCUUCGGUUUGAAAAUCACUUUUUGUUGGGAGGAAGGGCAGUAAGUUACUACGUACCUGUUCUGACGUUCGCGACAGAAUAAGUACCGGCUCACUUCGUGCUAGCAGCCGCUGUAAUACGAAGGGUGCAAGCGUUAAUCGGAAUUACUGGGCGUAAAGCGCGCGUAGGUGGUACGUUAAGUUGGAUGUGAAAGCCCCGGGCUCAACCUGGGAACUGCAUCCAAAACUGGCGAGCUAGAGUACGGUAGAGGGUGGUGGAAUUUCCUGUGUAGCGGUGAAAUGCGUAGAUAUAGGAAGGAACACCAGUGGCGAAGGCGACCACCUGGACUGAUACUGACACUGAGGUGCGAAAGCGUGGGGAGCAAACAGG
RNAcentral lists this ribosomal RNA (424 nucleotides) under uncultured bacterium. RNAcentral describes it as "partial 16S ribosomal RNA". It matches the Rfam family "Bacterial small subunit ribosomal RNA", at positions 359 to 776 of the family's 1533-position model. The record is from RNAcentral.